GAAUCAGGUGGGAAGGUGGAGCCAACGCUCUGCAAACUGUAUGGGGAGCCAGGGGUUUUGGCAGAGUUCAAAGACUGGGAAGCAAGGUUCAGCCAUGUUGGGCCUUUGGGCUCAUAGAUGAGCAAGGGUACCCCAAUAUGAGGGCUCAGCAAAUUCUGGAACUUAAUAGUUCUGAAGGCCUUUAGAGGAGAAGGAGGCAGGUAAAAGGGUUCGCCUUGCGUAUUGGUGAUGAAACAGGCUAUUUUUGAGACUGAGUUGUCCAGCAUUCUCUAAGGUACGUAGUCCUGCAGGGCGCUGCUUAAUGAACCAGAAGUCCUGCCUCUUAAGUACCUCACCAACUCAAAUGUGUGCAUGUCACCUUGGUGUGAAUCAGAGCAGGCGCUGAUGGAUACCGUUUGGAGGCAUGCCAGCAAGGAGUUCCUUGUGUAGCCUGCCUCUAGAGCCUCAAGUUCAACUUCCAUGGGGCCAACAGGGGAGUCGGGCUGGGCAGAAGCUCCUGGGAACCAAAGCAAAUGGUCUGAGAGUCUGAGAGCAGAGUGGAGGUAACGUGUUUGUGUCCUCUCUGGCUGCAGCACCCCAAGUCCUGGCAGACUCAAGUAGCCUCUUUGCAAGUUUAAAUAGUUUCUGACCCCUGGCUGGUAACGUUAAUACUCUACAGUGGCCCAGUGUCAGGGAUAUAGAGUGGCGACUACUUGGCAGAACUGGAGCUUGCUCGGAUGAAAAGAUAAAUUGUACUGGUUAAA
Long non-coding RNA from Symphalangus syndactylus (siamang), 743 nucleotides. RefSeq lists it as uncharacterized. The record is from RefSeq and is a predicted model, not a curated record. NCBI's taxonomy places the organism in Eukaryota, Metazoa, Chordata, Mammalia, Primates, Hylobatidae.